This 792-nucleotide ribosomal RNA is filed under the name uncultured bacterium. RNAcentral describes it as "bacterial SSU rRNA". It matches the Rfam family "Bacterial small subunit ribosomal RNA", at positions 8 to 796 of the family's 1533-position model. The record is from RNAcentral.
AGAGUUUGAUCAUGGCUCAGAAUCAACGCUGGCGGCGUGCCUAACACAUGCAAGUCGAACGCGAAAGUGGAGCAAUCCAUGAGUAGAGUGGCAAACGGGUGAGUAAUGCUUUGGAAUCUUCCCAGUAGUGGGGAAUAACCAGUCGAAAGAUUGGCUAAUACCGCAUACGUCUGUAAAGGGAAAGCGGGGGCUCGUAAGACCUCGCGCUAUUGGAUGAGCCAAAGUCGGAUUAGCUAGUUGGUGGGGUAAUGGCCUACCAAGGCGACGAUCCGUAGCUGGUCUGAGAGGACGACCAGCCACACCGGAACUGAGACACGGUCCGGACUCCUACGGGAGGCAGCAGUGGGGAAUAUUGGACAAUGGGGGAAACCCUGAUCCAGCGACGCCGCGUGUGUGAAGAAGGCCUGCGGGUUGUAAAGCACUUUUAGUGGGGACAAAAAGCUACGGACUAAUACUCUGUGGUCUUGAUUUAACCCAAAGAAAAAGCACCGGCUAACUCUGUGCCAGCAGCCGCGGUAAUACAGAGGGUGCGAGCGUUAAUCGGAAUUACUGGGCGUAAAGCGCGCGUAGACGGUUUUGUAAGUCAGAUGUGAAAUCCCUGGGCUCAACCUGGGAACUGCAUUUGAGACUGCAUGGCUAGAGUAUGGAAGAGGGAAGUGGAAUUUCCGGUGUAGCGGUGAAAUGCGUAGAUAUCGGAAGGAACACCAGUGGCGAAAGCGACUUCCUGGUCCAAUACUGACGUUCAUGUGCGAAAGCGUGGGGAGCAAACAGGAUUAGAUACCCUAGUAGUCC